AUUAAGGUUUAAUCAUUAAGGGCAGAUUAGUAUUUUUCAUUCUUGUCACAGGGGUAAUUCAGACAUUUACUAAAAACAAGGAAAUUACGCGAGUUCGUUAUCUCCAGCAUCCCGAGUAGUAAUGCUCGAAACAUAGAUGAUGUCGAAUUUGAAGAUGCUGAGGUCGAUACCGGACAUGAUGAUGCAGAGCAAUAUCGGAAUCCGACAUCAGACAACAACGUUACCUUAGACGAUCAGACUAAUGAAAGAUUGUAUAUCCCAGAGGUAGCUUCAUCAUGUGUUCCUGUUAUUGGAAUGGAGUUCUCUUCCAUAGAACAAGCAUAUGUUUUUUAUCAGACAUAUGCCAAGAAGGCAGGGUUCUCCGCUCGAAAAGGAGGUGAACAUCAUGUUGGUGGUAUCAUAAAGUCUAAAU
This is a long non-coding RNA of Helianthus annuus (common sunflower), 412 nucleotides long. RefSeq lists it as uncharacterized. The transcript is spliced from 3 exons. NCBI's taxonomy places the organism in Eukaryota, Viridiplantae, Streptophyta, Magnoliopsida, Asterales, Asteraceae. The record is from RefSeq and is a predicted model, not a curated record.